This 253-nucleotide ribosomal RNA is filed under the name uncultured bacterium. RNAcentral's name for it is "partial 16S ribosomal RNA". It matches the Rfam family "Bacterial small subunit ribosomal RNA", at positions 524 to 776 of the family's 1533-position model. The record is from RNAcentral.
UACGUAGGUGACAAGCGUUGUCCGGAUUUACUGGGCGUAAAGAGCGCGCAGGCGGUCGAUCAAGUCGAGUGUGAAAGCCCCCGGCUCAACUGGGGAGGGUCAUUCGAAACUGGUCGACUCGAAGGCAGGAGAGGGAAGUGGAAUUCCCGGUGUAGUGGUGAAAUGCGUAGAUAUCGGGAGGAACACCAGUGGCGAAGGCGACUUCCUGGCCUGUUCUUGACGCUGAGGCGCGAAAGCUAGGGGAGCAAACGGG